UAUUAAAAGUUUUAUCCAUUUGUAUUAUUAAAAAUUGGCGUGGCAUGCUAAGUGUACCUCAUGUUGAUUUACAGUGACCCGUUUUUAAUAGUAAAAAUGGAUGGAAUUUUUAACA
RNAcentral lists this microRNA precursor (115 nucleotides) under Gossypium arboreum. RNAcentral's name for it is "MIR7502 microRNA precursor family". It matches the Rfam family "MIR7502 microRNA precursor family". Lineage: Eukaryota; Viridiplantae; Streptophyta; Magnoliopsida; Malvales; Malvaceae. The record is from Rfam by way of RNAcentral.